AUUCAGCCUGGAGGCACGGACGUGCGGGUCGGAAGACAGCAGGGCUUCCCCGAGCGGGGGCCGUCCGCCCCACGGAGCUCCGUGCGGGCCAGACGCAUUUCCUCCCGUCCGAAGGACGCCGCAGCCGGCUGGGUAGUGCAAGCGCGACGGCCUGAGGGGCGGAAGAUGGCAGGUGGCCGGUGGCUCGCCACGUGCGGGUUGCCGGUUGUUAGCCGUUCCGUCGGUGGCCCGUCACCCGGCCGAGGUGUCGCAAGGCCCUUCGGGGCCUCAUCGUCUCCUCCCCUGAAGGAAGUCGGGACAGAGCGCCGCAGGUGGGAACCGUCGUCCCGUUCGCACCCCUACGGGGUGGUCGGGCGAACGUGUCCUGCCGAUGGCGGUGCCGGGCCCGUCGGAGGUUGGAGGCUGGCGGCGAGUAGGUCGGUCACCCACCCGACCCGUCUUGAAACACGGACCAAGGAGUCUAACAUGUGCGCGAGUCAAUGGGACUUGAACAGGCCCAGGGGCGCAAUGAAAGCAAAGGCCGACGCCACGUCGGCUGAGUUGGGAUCCCCCGCUCCGGCGGGGGCGCACCGACGACCCGUCCUAUCCGGCUCGCCGGUUGGGCGGAGUGAGAGCGUACACGUUGGGACCCGAAAGAUGGUGAACUAUGCCCGGACAGGACGAAGCCAGAGGAAACUCUGGUGGAGGUCCGCAGCGGUUCUGACGUGCAAAU
This 712-nucleotide ribosomal RNA is filed under the name Cavernocymbium prentoglei. Its description in RNAcentral is "eukaryotic LSU rRNA". The stretch from base 451 to 712 matches the Rfam family "Eukaryotic large subunit ribosomal RNA", at positions 665 to 898 of the family's 3401-position model. Lineage: Eukaryota; Metazoa; Arthropoda; Arachnida; Araneae; Macrobunidae. The record is from RNAcentral.